UUCCAUUGCUUUCAAGGAGGCCUGGUCAGAUAACUUUACCUCAGCUCCAAAAAGAACGUCCAGUGAUCAUUGGGAUAGCUGCGGAGCUGUUUAGGGUUCUUAUCCUCAGUUCGCGAGAACGAUUUGGGAUGACAGUUACUGUAAGCGUAAUAGGUAGGCAAGUUGUACUUCAUGGACAAGAUAAGGCGAUUGUUCUCAGGAAGGAGGAUUGUGUUAUUUGGAUUCCUUUGGCGGGUCGAUUUUUCUUGAAGUUCAGCACCGAGAAGGCUAACGCACUGCUGAAUA
Molecule: non-coding RNA, 285 nt
Organism: Prunus mume (Japanese apricot)
Lineage: Eukaryota; Viridiplantae; Streptophyta; Magnoliopsida; Rosales; Rosaceae
Source: RefSeq, a predicted model, not a curated record